Molecule: long non-coding RNA, 394 nt
Filed under: Vitis vinifera (wine grape)
Lineage: Eukaryota; Viridiplantae; Streptophyta; Magnoliopsida; Vitales; Vitaceae
Description: long non-coding RNA (VVIN_LNC008033)
Source: RNAcentral
CUACAAUUGAACCCUGCAUGCUAGAGUUGAUCCAAAACUCAAGGGGAAGGUUUUUUUGGCACCAAAGAAGCUUUCUUACUCGAAGCUUCUAGAUUAGAAGAUCUUUGUGACUCGAUUAAGGUGCAGACUCUCAUCUUCCUCUUCUCCUUCUAAGGAUGGACAUUUUGUUCUGAACCUAGUCCCCAUUAGGGUUUUUUUUAGGGAGUCAAUAGCGGGAAUUGUCAAUAGGCCCUUUGGAGUUGAAAGUUGGUCAUUGUUUCAACCUCCAAUUGACUAUCUUAUGCAACUGUUGAAAGAGGGGACUUCUAUUGGAGCUCAAGGGGCUAAAUGUGGUCCCUUAAGGAUGGUAUUCCAAGACGACACGUCAUUGGUGUUUUCGGAAAAUUGUUCAAGU